This is a long non-coding RNA of Taeniopygia guttata (zebra finch), 1838 nucleotides long. NCBI's taxonomy places the organism in Eukaryota, Metazoa, Chordata, Aves, Passeriformes, Estrildidae. The record is from Ensembl.
GCUGCCCCUUGCAGGGUGCUGGAGAAAGGCCAGACCUCUGGGAGGCAGUCCUGGGAGAGGUUUGCCCCCGCUGGCUCAGGGUUUGGCUCCUAUUUCCUCCUGUCAGAGAAAUGCGCCGCGCAUCCGAAGCCGUGUGUUCCGCGAUUGCAUUCCAGCUGCUCGGGCUGCUCAGCAAAGACACGCCAUGCCGGGAUUUGGCCGCCCUGGCGUUCCUUGUGGAGGUGAGCCUGAAGGCCAGCGCUGCCUCGCUGAGCUGCCUCCCGGCUCUCUGCCCUCUCUUGGCCGCAGUGCCUGGGACGGAGCCCGCGCCCUGUGCUGCUGCCUGGGCCCGGCCCUGUGCGGUUCUGGGCUCCCGCCGGCCGCUCCCCCGUCACUGCCCUGUGCCUUUCAGGUCCUGGAGCGCCUGAACCUGAGUGAACGCCGUGACAGCGUCCUGGAGUUCUUGUCAAAGAACCUGCAGAGCGAGUGCAGGGGGAGGCGUCGCUUGGCACUCAGAGGCCUCGUGGUGCUCGGCACCACCAGUGCCUCGGUGAGAAGAGCGCAGGGGCUGAAGCCGUGCUGCCAGCGUGGGGCUGGGGAAGGCAGUCCCUGGGGCUCGGCUGGCCUUGGGGCACUGAGGCAGCUGCUGCCAGCUCUCCUGCCUCCUGCUGCAGCUGCCCCAGUGCUUUGGCACAGGCCUUUGGCCCCUGGGCCCUGUGGCAGCAGGAUGGUGUUUCACACACUUGUGUUCCACAAGUAGAUGGCCAUAAGGAUGUGGAGCCUGCAUGAAAGGCUCGUGGAGCUCCUGCCGGAAAAUGACAGCGUCAUGCUCAGGAUGACCACAGGUCUCCUCAGAGCUGUAUUUCUCUGCAAUGGUGCCCCAAUAACCAGCACCCUCGCCCUGCAGCUGGCUGAGGCGCUCCUGCCACUCUUUGACAACGUAAGGCUCUGCGCCUCCAGCCACGGCCAGCGGGUGCUACCCGCACACUUUGUGCCCUGUGCACUUACAGGCUGUGCCCAGGUGGGCCUGAAGCAGCUGACGCUGAGGUCUUUCUUCCUUCCUUUCAUACAGGAGGAUAGCCAGGUGCAGUUGAGCUCCAUGUUUAUCUUCCGAGACAUGCUGGAUCAUUUUCCGGAAGAGGAAAAAAAGGCCCUGAAGGCACACGUGCGCCAGAGCCUGCUGCCACUCUCCUUCCACUGCCAUGAUGAGAACCAGCGAGUGGCAGAGGCUUCUCAGGAAACGCUGCUUUGUGCGGCCGAGUUCCUGAAGCAGAGGGAUCUCGAAAAGCUGCUGAAGAACCAGAAGCCGUGGAAGUUCACCGAGUGCCUGGUAAGGAGGGCCGGGAAGCCGCAGCCCCAGCCUGGAGAAGCCCCCUGAGCGCGGUGCUCGGUGUGCGGGCUGGCAGCUGUGCCCCUGCCCGCUGCUGCAGCCCGAGGCCGCGCGGGCUCUGCUCCAGGCUCCUGCGGCCCGAGCCGGGUGCCCAUGGAGCCCCGGCCCGGCGGGGCUGCGGGGCCAACCCUUCCCUCCUGCCGCUCUCUGCAGCUGGCAGAGGACAGCAGCAGCGUGGCCGAGCACCUGCGCCGGGCCCUGCCCUACCUGCAGAGCCCACAGGAGCCCCUGCGAGAGGCGGCCGUCAGGUUCAUGGGUGAGCCACGAGCCGGGCCAGGAGGCCGUGUGGGCACAGGGCUGGCAGCGCCGCUGGCAGGGAGCUGUGCCGCCGGGCCUGACAGGCUCUGUGUUCCCAGGGACGGCCGGGCGGUACCUGAGGGGGAGGAAGGAAGAGCUCCAGCUCAUCUCUGAGGGUGAGUGAGGGCAGCGGGCUGCCAGCGGGGGCUGGCGGGGAGCUGCGAGCCCUGCC